UACGGGGGGGCAAGCGUUGUUCGGAAUUACUGGGCGUAAAGGGCUCGUAGGCGGCCAACUAAGUCGGAUGUGAAAUCCCCAGGCUUAACCUGGGAACUGCAUCCGAUACUGGAUGGCUUGAAUCCGGGAGAGGGAUGCAGAAUUCCAGGUGUAGCGGUGAAAUGCGUAGAUAUCUGGAGGAAUACCGGUGGCGAAGGCGGCAUCCUGGACCGGCAUUGACGCUGAUGAGCGAAAGCUAGGGGAGCAAACGGGG
Molecule: ribosomal RNA, 253 nt
Filed under: uncultured bacterium
Lineage: Bacteria
Description: partial 16S ribosomal RNA
Rfam family: Bacterial small subunit ribosomal RNA
Source: RNAcentral